RNAcentral lists this small RNA (84 nucleotides) under Chryseobacterium formosense. Its description in RNAcentral is "Flavo-1 RNA". It matches the Rfam family "Flavo-1 RNA". The record is from RNAcentral. Lineage: Bacteria; Pseudomonadati; Bacteroidota; Flavobacteriia; Flavobacteriales; Weeksellaceae.
AUUUAGCCCUGAUAGAAGCGACAUCCUUUUUUUUUCAAAGGGUAAGCAAAGGAAAAAAAGAUAUAGCGGAUAGCAGGAUUAAGC